Molecule: ribosomal RNA, 460 nt
Filed under: uncultured bacterium
Lineage: Bacteria
Description: bacterial SSU rRNA
Rfam family: Bacterial small subunit ribosomal RNA
Source: RNAcentral
AACGAACGCUGGCGGCAGGCCUAACACAUGCAAGUCGAACGCUGUAGCAAUACAGAGUGGCAGACGGGUGAGUAACACGUGGGAACGUACCCUUCGGUUCGGAAUAACUCAGGGAAACUUGAGCUAAUACCGGAUACGUCCGAGAGGAGAAAGAUUUAUCGCCGAAGGAUCGGCCCGCGUCUGAUUAGCUUGUUGGUGAGGUAAUGGCUCACCAAGGCUACGAUCAGUAGCUGGUCUGAGAGGAUGAUCAGCCACACUGGGACUGAGACACGGCCCAGACUCCUACGGGAGGCAGCAGUGGGGAAUAUUGGACAAUGGGCGAAAGCCUGAUCCAGCCAUGCCGCGUGAGUGAUGAAGGCCCUAGGGUUGUAAAGCUCUUUUACUCGGGAAGAUAAUGACGGUACCGAGAGAAUAAGCCCCGGCUAACUUCGUGCCAGCAGCCACGGUAAAGUCUAGCAUG